RNAcentral lists this ribosomal RNA (300 nucleotides) under Triticum aestivum (bread wheat). RNAcentral describes it as "partial small subunit ribosomal RNA". The record is from RNAcentral. Lineage: Eukaryota; Viridiplantae; Streptophyta; Magnoliopsida; Poales; Poaceae.
AUGGGUGAUCUCAAUGAGAUCAUGUACUCUUUUGAGAAGGAGUGAGUGAAUCCUAGACCUUGUCAUCUUAUGCAGAGUUUCAGAGAUGCGGUUGAGGACUGUAAUCUAACCGAACUAGGAUUUGUAGGGGAUAAGUUCACAUGGAAGAGGGGGAGAAUUCGAGAAAGACUAGAUCAAGGCCUUGCAAAUGAGGCAUGGAAUACAAAAUUCCCGGGAGUAGUUAUUGAGCACUUGGAUUAUUAUAGAUCCGAUCAUCGGCCACUUUUCUUUAACUUGGAUCAUGCUUCGGAUCAUACCUAG